UCCGGUUGAUCCUGGCGGAGGUCACUGCUAUCGGUGUUCGUCUAAGCCAUGCGAGUCAUAUGUUCUUCGUGAACAUGGCAUACUGCUCAGUAACACGUGGAUAACCUGCCCUUGGGUCCGGCAUAACCCCGGGAAACUGGGGAUAAUACCGGAUAACGCAUAUAUGCUGGAAUUCUUUAUGCGUGAAACGGAUUCGUCUGCCCAAGGAUGGGUCUGCGGCCUAUCAGGUAGUAGUGGGUGUAAUGUACCUACUAGCCGACGACGGGUACGGGUUGUGAGAGCAAGAGCCCGGAGAUGGAUUCUGAGACAUGAAUCCAGGCCCUACGGGGCGCAGCAGGCGCGAAAACUUUACAAUGCGGGAAACCGUGAUAAGGGGACACCGAGUGCCAGCAUCAUAUGCUGGCUGUCCGGGUGUGUAAAAUACACCUGUUAGCAAGGGCCGGGCAAGACCGGUGCCAGCCGCCGCGGUAACACCGGCGGCCCGAGUGGUGAUCGUGAUUAUUGGGUCUAAAGGGUCCGUAGCCGGUUUGGUCAGUCCUCCGGGAAAUCUGACGGCUUAACCGUUAGGCUUUCGGGGGAUACUGCCAGACUUGGAACCGGGAGAGGUAAGAGGUACUACAGGGGUAGGAGUGAAAUCUUGUAAUCCCUGUGGGACCACCUGUGGCGAAGGCGUCUUACCAGAACGGGUUCGACGGUGAGGGACGAAAGCUGGGGGCACGAACCGGAUUAGAUACCCGGGUAGUCCCAGCCGUAAACGAUGCUCGCUAGGUGUCAGGCAUGGCGCGACCGUGUCUGGUGCCGCAGGGAAGCCGUGAAGCGAGCCACCUGGGAAGUACGGCCGCAAGGCUGAAACUUAAAGGAAUUGGCGGGGGAGCACAACAACGGGUGGAGCCUGCGGUUUAAUUGGACUCAACGCCGGACAACUCACCGGGGGCGACAGCAAUAUGUAGGUCAGGCUGAAGACCUUGCCUGAAUCGCUGAGAGGAGGUGCAUGGCCGUCGCCAGUUCGUACUGUGAAGCAUCCUGUUAAGUCAGGCAACGAGCGAGACCCA
This 1052-nucleotide ribosomal RNA is filed under the name uncultured archaeon. RNAcentral describes it as "bacterial SSU rRNA". It matches the Rfam family "Archaeal small subunit ribosomal RNA", at positions 1 to 1054 of the family's 1478-position model. The record is from RNAcentral.